AGGAGCGCAGCGCACUGACACCCGAGGCAGCCACUGCCUUACAAGGCUGCCACAGGCACAGCCAGCCUAUGGACGCCGCUCGACCCAGGGUGCGGUCGCUGUGGAGCUGUGGAGCGUGGGAACCGGGCUGAGGUUGGGGAAGAGCGACUAGGGCACACCUGGCCCUGGGGCCCCGGGCGUGCGGCCAGUCGCAAGUAGGGAAGCUGAGGCUGGUGGCGCAGUCGCAGACUACACUGCGCACAACCCGUUGCUGAUCCCUACCUGCCUGGAGAGCUUGAUGGACGCUUGCCACGGGAUCUCCACCCCGCUGACUCUGUGGUGAGGUCAGGGUCGCACUGGUGGCUCUGAAGAAGAUUAUGGGGUUAGCAAGGAGGCAAUGGGGCUGGAAGAUUUGGUUCAAUAGACUCUUCAGUCCUCCAGGUUCUGUCUCAGACUCUAACCAAGUCACCCACUGAGGUCUUGGCUUGGCCACUUGCCUUAUGUCCCACAAAGCCCCAAGUCCUGCUGUGAUGGUUUGUAUAUGCUUGGCCCAAGAAGUGGCACUAUUUGGAGGUGUGGCCUUGUUGGAGUAGGUGUGACCUGGUUGGAGUAGGUGUGUCACUGUGGGCAUGGACUUAAGACCCUCACCCUAGCUGCCUGGAAGUGAGUAGCAGCCUUCAGAUGAAGAUGUAGAACUCUCAGCUCCUCUUGCACCAUGCCUGCCUGGAUGCUGCCAUGCUCCCACCUUGAUGAUAAUGGACUGAACCUCAGAACCUGUAAACCAACCCCAAUUAAAUGUGUCCUUUAUAAGA
Mus musculus (house mouse) is the source of this 791-nucleotide long non-coding RNA. RefSeq annotates it as predicted gene 15912. The transcript is spliced from 3 exons. The record is from RefSeq and is marked validated. Lineage: Eukaryota; Metazoa; Chordata; Mammalia; Rodentia; Muridae.